GACUGUUUGGAUGGGCCCAGGAGGUGCCUUGUGAUGUGAUUGAGUUGUGAUUGUGUGAUUGGCGGAUAUAGAAGUGUAUUUUGAAGCCUUUUACAGCUUGGGUAGGUCCCAAGUAUAGGGCAAACUCUGUCGAAUUUUUCGGCAUGAAUUAGGCUGCCUGUUGCCUCUUUAGAGUUUUAUUUUCACUUAGUACUAAUAAAUUUAUAAU
RNAcentral lists this unclassified non-coding RNA (208 nucleotides) under Hevea brasiliensis (rubber tree). Lineage: Eukaryota; Viridiplantae; Streptophyta; Magnoliopsida; Malpighiales; Euphorbiaceae. The record is from RNAcentral.